GGGGAAUAUUGCACAAUGGGGGAAACCCUGAUGCAGCGACGCCGCGUGAGUGAAGAAGUAUUUCGGUAUGUAAAGCUCUAUCAGCAGGGAAGAAAAUGACGGUACCUGAGUAAGAAGCCCCGGCUAACUACGUGCCAGCAGCCGCGGUAAUACGUAGGGGGCAAGCGUUAUCCGGAUUUACUGGGUGUAAAGGGAGCGCAGACGGCUCUGCAAGUCUGAAGUGAAAGCCCGCGGCUUAACCGCGGGACUGCUUUGGAAACUGCAGGGCUUGAGUAUCGGAGGGGCAGGCGGAAUUCCUAGUGUAGCGGUGAAAUGCGUAGAUAUUAGGAAGAACACCGGUGGCGAAGGCGGCCUGCUGGACGAAAACUGACGUUGAGGCUCGAAGGCGUGGGGAGCAAACAGGAUUAGAUACCCUGGUAGUCCACGCGGUAAACGAUGAAUACUAGGUGUUGGUGCCCGAAGGGCAUCGGUGCCGUCGCAAACGCAAUAAGUAUUCCACCUGGGGAGUACGUUCGCAAGAAUG
RNAcentral lists this ribosomal RNA (523 nucleotides) under uncultured bacterium. Its description in RNAcentral is "bacterial SSU rRNA". It matches the Rfam family "Bacterial small subunit ribosomal RNA", at positions 356 to 896 of the family's 1533-position model. The record is from RNAcentral.